AGCAACAAAUGCCCUGCUUCCAGGAAAAGCCUCUAAGCAUCAGGUAACAUCAAAUCGUACCCCAAACCGACACAGGUGGUCAGGUAGAGAAUACCAAGGCGCUUGAGAGAACUCGGGUGAAGGAACUAGGCAAAAUGGUGCCGUAACUUCGGGAGAAGGCACGCUGACACGUAGGUGAAGUGAUUUACUCAUGGAGCUGAAGUCAGUCGAAGAUACCAGCUGGCUGCAACUGUUUAUUAAAAACACAGCACUGUGCAAACACGAAAGUGGACGUAUACGGUGUGACGCCUGCCCGGUGCCGGAAGGUUAAUUGAUGGGGUCAGCGCAAGCGAAGCUCCUGAUCGAAGCCCCGGUAAACGGCGGCCGUAACUAUAACGGUCCUAAGGUAGCGAAAUUCCUUGUCGGGUAAGUUCCGACCUGCACGAAUGGCGUAAUGAUGGCCAGGCUGUCUCCACCCGAGACUCAGUGAAAUUGAACUCGCUGUGAAGAUGCAGUGUACCCGCGGCAAGACGGAAAGACCCCGUGAACCUUUACUAUAGCUUGACACUGAACAUUGAGCCUUGAUGUGUAGGAUAGGUGGGAGGCUUUGAAGCGUGGACGCCAGUCUGCGUGGAGCCGACCUUGAAAUACCACCCUUUAAUGUUUGAUGUUCUAACGUGGACCCGUAAUCCGGGUUGCGGACAGUGUCUGGUGGGUAGUUUGACUGGGGCGGUCUCCUCCUAAAGAGUAACGGAGGAGCACGAAGGUUGGCUAAUCCUGGUCGGACAUCAGGAGGUUAGUGCAAUGGCAUAAGCCAGCUUGACUGCGAGCGUGACGGCGCGAGCAGGUGCGAAAGCAGGUCAUAGUGAUCCGGUGGUUCUGAAUGGAAGGGCCAUCGCUCAACGGAUAAAAGGUACUCCGGGGAUAACAGGCUGAUACCGCCCAAGAGUUCAUAUCGACGGCGGUGUUUGGCACCUCGAUGUCGGCUCAUCACAUCCUGGGGCUGAAGUAGGUCCCAAGGGUAUGGCUGUUCGCCAUUUAAAGUGGUACGCGAGCUGGGUUUAGAACGUCGUGAGACAGUUCGGUCCCUAUCUGCCGUGGGCGCUGGAGAACUGAGGGGGGCUGCUCCUAGUACGAGAGGACCGGAGUGGACGCAUCACUGGUGUUCGGGUUGUCAUGCCAAUGGCACUGCCCGGUAGCUAAAUGCGGAAGAGAUAAGUGCUGAAAGCAUCUAAGCACGAAACUUGCCCCGAGAUGAGUUCUCCCUGAGACUUUAGGUCUCCUGAAGGAACGUUGAAGACGACGACGUUGAUAGGCC
RNAcentral lists this ribosomal RNA (1297 nucleotides) under Salmonella enterica subsp. enterica serovar Muenchen. RNAcentral's name for it is "partial 23S ribosomal RNA". It matches the Rfam family "Bacterial large subunit ribosomal RNA", at positions 1589 to 2862 of the family's 2925-position model. The record is from RNAcentral. Lineage: Bacteria; Pseudomonadati; Pseudomonadota; Gammaproteobacteria; Enterobacterales; Enterobacteriaceae.